GUUUUGAUAGUUUAAAAAAAACAAUGAUCUUGUAAAUCAUAAAUAGAAUAUCUUCAAAACU
Molecule: transfer RNA, 61 nt
Filed under: Malcus inconspicuus
Lineage: Eukaryota; Metazoa; Arthropoda; Insecta; Hemiptera; Malcidae
Description: tRNA-Thr
Source: RNAcentral